GAAAUCUGAUUAUUGGAUUCGUUUCGAUCGAUCGUGUUGGGCGUUUCUUACUCGCUGCUCGAACGAGAAUGGAGAUUCUAAUACGCGAAUCAUCCUCGUCUUUCUUUGCCGUCACUCUGUUCCCAGUGAUAAGUAGAAUUUCGUUUGGAAUUAAUCAAAAGACGGACUUACACUCGUUUAGGUUCGUCGCAGCGAAACGACUUGCCGAGAAAUCUUCGCGUGUCUCGUUGCUUAGCCGCUUUGCUAAUUGCAUUGUUCUUGAGCCGCGAGAAAACCACUCCGCACGUAUCACCGGCUUUGAUGCGGCCCAAGAAUUCUUAAAUGUUCGUCGAGAAGCUAACUGUUGCACAUUUCCCUUUUUUCCUCCGCUUAAAUUCUAAGACUCUACGCGAGAUCCUCGUCUCUUCCGAGGGCGUGUUCCACGUCGUUUGCUUUUCUACCGCGAUCUUUCUCUUUACCCGUACGAUCAUUUCCCAGUACAAAUCGGCUCGUCUUUAAAAACUGGUUGUAUCGUUUCAGGCUCGUGACAGAAAUCAACGUUACGUCUCAAUUAAUUCCGAGAGCGAAGGGAUGGUAGCUCGCAGCGUGGAAUACCGACAAACGACAAUACUAAAUUCGCAUUCUCAACGAGAAAACUGUACGUUGCCUUCUAAUCGCAACGACCAAGUAUCCAGCGACGUCCUUAAAUCUCGUUGCUCGAUUUUACUUACCUAAAUAUCCAGAUAUCUGCUAUCACGUUCGAUGAAACAACGAUGAAAUAAAACCGGGAGAAAGAAGCGAGAAAUUAAAGAGACCAGGCAGACGUAUUAUUAUUUCGCAAAGAAUUAACGAACGACCGAAUGGCGUUGAAUUUUAGGGGAAAUCAAAUGUUUCAUUACGGUGAAAUUUUGAAUGGCACAAAGUCAAAACAGGUAAUGGCGGUAACAUAGCACGGUUGCACGGCGGCAAGUGGGGCAUAAUAAAUUUAGGUAUCGAUCGAGCGGGAAGAGCGCGCGGAUCUCUCGACCGGCGCACACCAACGCGCAAUAUUGUUGCACGUGAAAAUAACAAGACCGCGUUUUCAAAUUAUGGACAAUCUCGCGGAAUUCACUUUUAUGAGUUAGACGUGAUCAAUAGUCGCGCCGGAUGCGGCGGGGAUCCGACGACGAAACGUUACGGCUGAUUG
Long non-coding RNA from Bombus impatiens (common eastern bumble bee), 1165 nucleotides. RefSeq lists it as uncharacterized. The transcript has 2 exons. Lineage: Eukaryota; Metazoa; Arthropoda; Insecta; Hymenoptera; Apidae. The record is from RefSeq and is a predicted model, not a curated record.